GACGAAGGUGGCAAGCGUUGUUCGGUAUCACUGGGCUUAAAGCGUGUGUAGGCGGAAAGGUAAGCGUUUUGUGAAAGCCCCCGGCUUAACCGGGGAAUUGCUUGACGAACUGCCUUUCUUGAGGCAGACAGGGGUGCGUGGAACUCUUGGUGGAGCGGUGGAAUGUGUAGAUAUCAAGAGGAACGCCAGUGGUGAAGACGGCGCACUGGGUCUGAACUGACGCUGAGACACGAAAGCGUGGGGAGCGAACGGGAUUAGAUACCCCCGUA
RNAcentral lists this ribosomal RNA (269 nucleotides) under uncultured prokaryote. RNAcentral describes it as "partial 16S ribosomal RNA". It matches the Rfam family "Bacterial small subunit ribosomal RNA", at positions 524 to 792 of the family's 1533-position model. The record is from RNAcentral.